Molecule: ribosomal RNA, 223 nt
Filed under: uncultured bacterium
Lineage: Bacteria
Description: partial 16S ribosomal RNA
Rfam family: Bacterial small subunit ribosomal RNA
Source: RNAcentral
GACGAACGCUGGCGGCGUGCUUAACACAUGCAAGUCGAGCGGUAAGGCCCUUUCGGGGGUACGACGAGCGGCGAACGGGUGAGUAACACGUGGGUGACCUCGCCCUCAGCUCUGGGAGUAAGCCGUCGGGAAACCGGGUCUAAUACCGGAUAUGACUCCAUGACGCAUGUUGUGGGGUGGAAAGCCUUGUGCGGCUGAGGAUGGGCCCGCGGCCUAUCAGCUU